This 253-nucleotide ribosomal RNA is filed under the name uncultured bacterium. RNAcentral describes it as "partial 16S ribosomal RNA". It matches the Rfam family "Bacterial small subunit ribosomal RNA", at positions 524 to 776 of the family's 1533-position model. The record is from RNAcentral.
UACGUAGGGGGCAAGCGUUAAUCGGAAUUACUGGGCGUAAAGCGCGCGUAGGUGGUUUGUUAAGUUGGAUGUGAAAGCCCCGGGCUCAACCUGGGAACUGCAUUCAAAACUGACAAGCUAGAGUAUGGUAGAGGGUGGUGGAAUUUCCUGUGUAGCGGUGAAAUGCGUAGAUAUAGGAAGGAACACCCGUGGCGAAGGCGACCACCUGGACUGAUACUGACACUGAGGUGCGAAAGCGUGGGGAGCAAACAGG